GCAAAAGCAGCCACAACUUUUGGUGUAACCCUUGCUUUUAUAUAUAUUUGAAGUGCCAGCUCGUUAUCAACAGUCUUUACAAGAUCACCAAGUUCUUCACUGCAUUCGAGUUUAUCGUCCUUCAACCAAUUCUCUAAGAGAUUCUUCUUAUUCUGAUUAACGACAAGGCGAGAUAACUCUAGAGAUUCAAAUGCAUUGAGCUUUCCCCGUGUUAAUAAAGUUCCAAAGUACUGCAACAGUGGUGGUGUUUGC
Molecule: unclassified non-coding RNA, 252 nt
Filed under: Hevea brasiliensis (rubber tree)
Lineage: Eukaryota; Viridiplantae; Streptophyta; Magnoliopsida; Malpighiales; Euphorbiaceae
Source: RNAcentral